ACAUUUUUAAUAUAUAAAGUAUAUAAAGCUUCCAACUUUAAAGAUCAAAAGAAAAAUGUA
Molecule: transfer RNA, 60 nt
Filed under: Orthonychiurus folsomi
Lineage: Eukaryota; Metazoa; Arthropoda; Collembola; Poduromorpha; Onychiuridae
Description: tRNA-Gly
Source: RNAcentral